RNAcentral lists this transfer RNA (43 nucleotides) under Sceloporus horridus. RNAcentral describes it as "partial tRNA-Ser". The record is from RNAcentral. Lineage: Eukaryota; Metazoa; Chordata; Lepidosauria; Squamata; Phrynosomatidae.
GGUGUUUUGAACACCAAGAACUGCUAAUUCUUACUACUGAAGU